Molecule: ribosomal RNA, 1759 nt
Filed under: Paragonimus skrjabini miyazakii
Lineage: Eukaryota; Metazoa; Platyhelminthes; Trematoda; Plagiorchiida; Troglotrematidae
Description: SSU rRNA
Rfam family: Eukaryotic small subunit ribosomal RNA
Source: RNAcentral
AUCUGGCUGACUCUGUGAGAAGUCAUACGCAUGUCUCAGAGAUUGAGCCGUGCAUAUCUACGCACAUACCGCGAUACGGUGAAACCGUGAAUGGCUUAAUAAAACACCUGUGGUUCCUUAGAUCGUAAAUAAUGCACCUAUAGUCCUCUAUGUCUGUAGUACUUAUUUAGCUAGUACAUGCCACUAUGCCCUGACCCGUGAGGGAACAGGCGGGUUUAUUGAAAGGGAACCGAACUUUUUUGGCUUCUGCUGCUUUCCUUGUACUCUGUGACGAUUUUGGAUAACUUCACUAAAUGCAUCGAUCUUGUGUCGGCGACAUAUUUUCCAAAUUCCUGCCCUAUCAGUUUACGAUCGUAGGUGACCUGCCUGCCAUGGUGAUAGCGAGUAGCGAAGAAUCAGGGUUUGAUUCCCAAGAGAAAGCCUGAGAAACGGCUACCAUUUCCCAGGAACACAGUAGGCAUGCAAACUACUCAAUCCCAGCCCGGGGUGGUAGUGACAAUAACUACUAAGGCGGGAACCAACGGAGUCUAUGUAAUUCGAAUGAAGACCGUUUAGAUCCUUUAACAGGAGUCAGCUGGGAGCAAGGCUGUGCCGGCAGCCGCGGUAACUCCAGCCCCAGAAGCGUAUAGUCAAGUUGUUGCAGUUAAAGAAUAUGUUCACUUUGAACAAGUUUGAAUGCACACGGCAGGCCUUUUUGUCUAAAACUUUUGUGUGGAAUAAUGGAAUAAGACUUCUGUUCUAUUUUGUUGGUUUCCGGACAAGAAGUAAUAAAUAUGAGGGGCAGAAGAGGACAUUUUUAUAGCGGUGUUAGAGAUGAUACUCUUGGAUCGCCGCCAAAUAAACUACGGCAGGAGCAUUUGCUAAGGACGUUUUCAUUGAACUGAAGCGCAAAUCAGAUGUUCAAAGUCGCUUAAAUACCUUCUCAUCUCCGACCGACCGACAGUCCAGUUCCAGCGGGCGUUUCCCGGGUAACCUUUGAGUCUUCGGGCUCCGAGGGAUGUGUAGUUGCAGAGGUUCAACUCAAAGUAAUUGACGGAAGAGCACCACAAUGAGACAACUCAUUGGCUUAAUUUGACUAAACUCAGGAAAUCUCACCCUGCGUGGACGCUGUAAAGCUUGAGGGGUGGAAAGAUUUCCUGUUGACUCUGCGGUCGGUGGUGAACGGCCGUUCUUAGUUGGUGGAGCGAUUUAUCUGGCAAAUACCGAUUACAAACGAGACUUUGGCCUGUUAAAUAGUAUGCCUGUCCUCUGUGUCCGUGUGGGUGGUGAUGCUGGUUGCUUUUUCCGUGGUGGUUGUGCCGUUCGCCUACGGGUGCUUAGCAGGUUUUUAUUCCUUAGAGGGACAAGCGGAGUGACAGUCUCACAAAAAUGAGCAACAACAAGUCUGUGGUUCCCUUAGAUGCCUGGGGCUGCACGUGCGUUACAAUGACGAUUUCAACAAGUCUGACAAUCUGGCCGAAAGGGUUGAGCAAGUUGGGUCAUCCCCGUCAUGAAUGGGAUCGGUGGUUGCAACUGUUCCCCGUGAACUAGGAAGUUGCUUUAAGUGCAAGUUAUAAGCUUGCGCGGACUACAUCCCUCCCUUUUGUACAAACCGUCCCUCGCUACUACCGAUUGAAUGGUUUAUCAAGGUCCCACAUUAGUGUCAUUUUAGUUGUUUCGGCAGCUCGGCCAGCGCUGUGAUCACGACCAUACUUGAUCAUUCAGAGGAAGUAAAAUGCCUAAACGAACAAAGGGACAAGUAUCUUCAACUGGUAGUCAU